Enhydrobacter aerosaccus is the source of this 74-nucleotide non-coding RNA. Lineage: Bacteria; Pseudomonadati; Pseudomonadota; Alphaproteobacteria; Hyphomicrobiales. The record is from Rfam.
CGGGGCGUAGCGCAGUCUGGUAGCGCACUUGCAUGGGGUGCAAGGGGUCGCGAGUUCGAAUCCCGCCGUUCCGA